RNAcentral lists this ribosomal RNA (253 nucleotides) under uncultured bacterium. RNAcentral's name for it is "partial 16S ribosomal RNA". It matches the Rfam family "Bacterial small subunit ribosomal RNA", at positions 524 to 776 of the family's 1533-position model. The record is from RNAcentral.
GACAGAGGUGCCGAGCGUUAGGCGGAAUCACUGGGCGUAAAGGGUGCGUAGGCGGGUCUUUAAGUCAGGGGUGAAAUCCUGGAGCUCAACUCCAGAACUGCCUUUGAUACUGAAGAUCUUGAGUUCGGGAGAGGUGAGUGGAACUGCGAGUGUAGAGGUGAAAUUCGUAGAUAUUCGCAAGAACACCAGUGGCGAAGGCGGCUCACUGGCCCGAUACUGACGCUGAGGCACGAAAGCGUGGGGAGCAAACAGG